CCAGUGACUGAAGUCAUGUUGGGACACACACAGCGCUGCCAUCAUUACAGUCAAGUUAUUUUUAAACCUAGCCUACGGUUGCGGGCUCCUUUCCAUCAAAACAUUCAGCGUUAUUUCAGCUGAAUGCUGCCUUUUAAAUCCACCAGCGAGCCUACAGGGUGACUUUGGAAGACGUGAUACUUGGAUUCCACAUGUGCUGCUCUGGACCAGCUUGACUGCACGCUCUCGCAAAAGAAGGGAAGGAAUCAGAUCAACCUAUAAUGGAAUUUGAGAGAAUUGGCAAAGUCAAAAUCUAUAAAGCCUUCAGGUGAGCUGGAGCUGAAGGUGCACACAUAUCCGCAUGUAUCUUUUGAAAUACUUAAUCGGAUGGAUCUGAACAGCUGAUGCCUGGAUAUUCAAAAAUGGAUCAACUCUCUAGGAAUGCUAUUGACUGUUUCUGACCAGCAGUCAGGCAAAGGUGGCUUUUUUUUUCAAAAUGAGCCUGAGAGUGGAUGUUGAAGUGGAAAUGUCUCCAGCAACGUGCAAAGGUCUCUGGGAACAGAUUCGAUUCCUGCUCCUUCUCUUCAAGAAUUGCAAGCAAACUUUUAAUGCCGUGAUAGAGGCCCCAUCAGCGUCCCACCAGCGAAAGCACUGUUAAUUCUGAACAGAAGCCGAAAUCACUUAAAACAACCGGCAGCAUGAAGUUGGCAUGUUGCCUGACUGCAGUCAACGAGCACUGGAUAAUCGCUCAGCCCAAUCUCCAAGCCCAUUUUUGGGGCUGAUCAAAAUUAACCUCAGUAAUAUUUGUCAUGGCUUCUUCUUUGUUACUCUUAACCCUUCUGCAACUGCUGACAAUGGACUUCUUCAUCACUCUACAUAAUUGUUUUCACUACUGUAACAAUAAAAUUUGAUUAUCACAUUUGUACUUCUGGCUAAACAGGACUCAGCCUGUCAUGCUGA
This is a long non-coding RNA of Chiloscyllium plagiosum (whitespotted bambooshark), 939 nucleotides long. RefSeq lists it as uncharacterized. The record is from RefSeq and is a predicted model, not a curated record. NCBI's taxonomy places the organism in Eukaryota, Metazoa, Chordata, Chondrichthyes, Orectolobiformes, Hemiscylliidae.